This is a non-coding RNA of Jatropha curcas, 924 nucleotides long. The record is from RefSeq and is a predicted model, not a curated record. NCBI's taxonomy places the organism in Eukaryota, Viridiplantae, Streptophyta, Magnoliopsida, Malpighiales, Euphorbiaceae.
AUGGUAUAUGUCAACAAUAUCUUGGAAGGUUGUGGAACUCGAAUUGCUGCCAAACUUGAAAGUAUCGAACCUUCCUUCAGUAUUAAAGAUAGGAUAGCCAAUAGUAUGAUUAAAGAUGCAGAAGAGAAGGGCUUGAUCACACCAGGGAAGACUGUCCUUACUGAGGUUACCAGUGGUAACACUGGAAUUUCAUUUGCAUCCAUUGCUGCAGGAAACGGGUAUAAAGUUAUUGCUAUCAUGCCAGCUUCAAAGAGUCUUGAGAGAAGGGUUGUGAUGAGAGCUCUUGGAGCUGAGUUAUACCUCACAGAUCCAAACAAGGGCUUCAACGAGGUUCUUAGGAAGCCUGAGGAAAUACUGAAAAAUACACCUAAUGGUUACAUGCUUGAUCAAUUUGUAAAUCCGACCAAUCCUAAGGGAUUAUAUUUAGGGUUUGUUGUCAUUUGUAGAUUCAAUGAAACCACUGGACCAGAGAUUUGGAAAAACUCGGGAGGUAAAGUUGAUGCCUCGGUUAUGGGAAUAGGGACUGGUGGCAGAGUAACUGUUUGGGUUUAUGGUGUAGAACCGGCAGAAAGUGGAGUCUUAAAUGGAGGAAAACCGGGUAAAAAUCUGAUUGAUGGACUAGGUGCUGGUGUUAUACCUGAUGUUUUGGAUGUUGGCAUGCUUGAUGAAGUUGUUCCGCUAAAUUCAAAACCAUCUCACCAUUGGUUCCAGGUGAAGAAGCUAUUGAACCAGCGAAGCUGCGUGCUUCAAGAGAAGGUUGGAAUAUCAUCUGGUGCUGUAACUGCCGCUGCUAUAAAGUUGGCCAAAAGACCAGAAAAUGCAGGCAAACUUAUUGUAGUUUUUGCCAGUGCCAGGGAGCGAUAUCUGUCCUCUAAGUUGUUUGAGUCCCUUAGGCAUGAGGCACAAAAUAUGACCUUUGAUUGA